RNAcentral lists this long non-coding RNA (3501 nucleotides) under Marmota monax (woodchuck). Lineage: Eukaryota; Metazoa; Chordata; Mammalia; Rodentia; Sciuridae. The record is from RNAcentral.
UUUGAGUCCCUGUCCUCUGUGUCUGUGAGUGAAUGUUAAAAUACCAGGGACUACCCCAUAUGGAAUUGCUGAGUUUUUUCAAAUUUCAAAAUUUCUGAGAUCUCAAAAUUUCAAAUCAUUUCCAAAUGAUCUCAAGUCUAUUUCAUUGAGCUUCUACAGGUCUUUUUUGUUUUUCUUUUUAAAUAUCAGUCAUUGCUUAUGCAUACGGGAUUAUGUUCCAUGACUGGCCUAUGGUGCUCAACAUCAGAAAGUACCGAAUCCUAUGUAAAGUAGAACAAUUACAGCAUUAUACUGUAGUAAUAUUCCCUGUGUCAGUAUCAAAUUUGGGACCCGUAUUAACUAAAACGAGGGUCACUAGCGCUGUCGUACCACCGCGACGUCCAGUCUGGUCAUGAGGAAAGUUACGAGGUGACUAAAGGGAGGGUAGCAUAUACAGUGUGGAAACACUGGGCAGAGGUGCUGUUCCAAGGUGGAACACAAGAGGGCGCUGCCCAGUUUGGCACAUGAUGUUUUUAACAUUGUUUUUUUUUUUUUUGUGUGGAAUUUUCCACUGCUACGUUUGCACCCCUGGGAUGACAGUACCCCAGACGGAGGACUCGGGGUCCUGCCUUGUUACUUAUGAAAGGGAGACGUUUCUAUGACUCUCAAGACGAUAACCAGGAGUCGUGUCCAGCUGUGCGCAAACCCUAACUCAAUCCCUUGUCCCUCUCCUUCCAGGAACAUGUCAGCCUGCCCAGGACCAAGAACUUCACCUCCGUCAGCCCAAAGAAAUGCUCUCUCUUGGUGCGAGGAGGACUUUGCGCACUUAUGGACGCCCAACUGUAUAUAGAGGUCGGGGGACAGUUGAGAUUUCACGGACGGGGCAAUUAUGGAAGCGACUGGAACCUUCUCCUGCGCCGUAGGAAACGGGUUGUGGGGGUUUUUAAUCGUAACCUGUUAGCAGCUGUGCUUCUACUGUGCGUUGGUUGGUUUUCUUGGACUCGAACCUGCAACCAGACCCGCCGGCUCGUAACCACAGGUUGUGCGUGCGUGCGUGCGUGCAUGAGUGUGUGCGUGCGUGUAAGGGCUUCUCCUUGGCCAAACCUAUUCUUUUCAGUUUUUAAAAAUCCUUUGAAAAAGAAAUGGGUCGCCUCGGAGACAAAGCUCAAAUCUAUGAUGGGUGCAUUUAAAAAAAAAAUAAUUCCCCUAACACCGUCUAUGCAUUUUAUAGAUAUUUAUGGAGUUUUUCUUCCAUAUCGAUGGGACUUUCUCUCUGGACGCUUUACACUUUGGAAAUGCAAAACGGAGACGGUGCGGAUUGGAGCAGCCGGAGACGUGCUAAAAAUUUGGAAUGCAAUCUUGACUCUUUUUUUUUUUUUUUCUUUUUAAUGCCUUUGGGGGAUUGAACCCGCUGUGCCUGAGCUCCACGCUCGGCCCCCAUCUCUGAACGGUUCAUCAGAGAAGGUUCUGGACUUAGAAGAUAAUGUCUCUUCCUGGCCUUUGCCUCCCAAACUCAAUCUAUUGAUUCAUUUAAUAAUUAAUCUGUUAGAAAUAAAUCAGCCAGCUGUCUGUAUACCUGGAGUGUCCCCUGUGAGCAGAGUAACAAAUGGUGCCUGGACACAUGAGUCCUGGGGACUCCCUUAUUUUUUGUGCCAGGGAUUGAACUCAGGGGUGCUUAACCACAGAGCCCUGUCCCCAGCCCUUUUUUAUAUUUUAUUUAGAGACAGGGCCUCCCUGAGUUUUUUAGGGCCUCCUUUUGGCUGAGGCUGGCUUUGAGCUCAUGAUCCUCCUGCCUCAGCCUCCUGAGCCCCUGGGAUAACAGGUGGGUGCCUCCGCACCUGGCUAGGUUUUUAUUUUAUUUUAUUUUUUUUAUCCACCCAUUUAAUACUGGAAAAAAAAAAAUCCAAUGUGCAGAAUCACGGGUGACCGGAUUCUUCCAUGAGAUUGCAGUCAGCCCCCCGACGAUGCAGAGCAAGUUAGACACUAAGAGGAAAUCCAGCAACAGGGGACACUGUUAUCGCCAACGUUGACAGAAACCUCAGGGGCAUGUGCCUUCUCUAAGGACUGGGCCACGGUCACUGGAUGUGGCCUCAGGUAGAGACCGAUGUCGUUGACCCCAAUCACGCACUUGGAACCACUGUUUCAUCUCAUCCCCAAAGAGUUGACUCUGUGGGGACCUUUGCAAAAUUUCCCGAUAGGCAUCCAACCUCAUCCGGGUGCCAAGAGUCAAAAUAAAAUACGUGCAACUUUGUAUCUGCAAAAGGCCCAGGGGAGAUGUUGCUUUUUAUUUAUUUUUUUUUCUUUUAUGAUUUAUGAAUCGGCGGCAUUUUGUUCAACAGGAACAGCUUCAAAGAUAGAGAUUGGCAAGAAAAAAAAAAUAGAGAUAUAUACGGCCCGGGGGGGAUCCCCGUUUCCCCAGGGAGAAGUCUCACCUCUUGCCUUCUUGCUUGUGCAUGGAGAAAUUCAGGAAGGAAAUAAAAGGAUCACAGGGAAUUUAACACCCAAAUGCCACAGAAUCUUGCAUGCGUGUCCUGCAAGCAGAUGCACAAUCACUGGAUCAUAAAUCAAUUUUUUUGUUUGUUUGUUUGUUUCAUUCUGUGCACCUUAAGAGAUCAGGUGAUUCCAACUCACUUUUUCAGAAUGCCCCCCUGGGGACAGUGACAUUUUCGCACACCUUUGCCACACGCCGUCACCUACGUUGCCUGCAACUUUUGGGACCAUUUCAACUGUGAAACCGGCUCAGGACUGUUCAUAGUGGACCCCAAGCCUUCACGGCUGAGGCGCCGGGGGGGCACCCCAGGACUUGCAGAUGGGUCCCCCCCCCCCCACGUCUGUCAAAGUCACUGGGUUGACAAAGUGCUUUUCCCGAUCAUGUCGACAUUUUUUUUCCUGUCGAAUUUGCUUUUGCAAAAACCACUGGGUCUUUUGUCCCCCGGGACCCUCUUCCCUGAGAACAGGAGGACGCCCUGUGAUUUUUUUUUUUUAAAUAAGUUUUCAUGUUGUAAACUCUGUUCACUGUGCAGUUCGUCCCUUUUGUGGAGGGGUCUGUUAUUUAAGUUAAAAAAAAAAUCACUCCACGACGUGGGUGGGAUGGGAAGCCCUCCCUCAGGCCGAUCUUGUCAUUGGAUAUUAAUUUUUGCAAUCCUGCACAACUUACAGCUUGAGUCUUUGUGUGUGUGUGUGUGUGAGCUGUGUCUUGUGCUCUGGGCACACGUAGGUCCUCGGUGCACCCUUUGCAGAUCUGGCGUGUGCACCCUGCAGGGCGCUGGGUCCCAGAUCCUCACGAGGAAUUCCAGAAGCCUGUUUCUCAUCCCGCCGAUGCAUUGCACAAAGGAAAUCACUGUGAUUUGUGUGUGUGUGUGUGUAUAUAUAUAUAUAGGCCCUAGGAAAAUUUUACUGCUAAUUUAUGGAAUAAUAUUAUGGAUUCCAGGUUUUGUUUAAUAAUAAUAAUAAAAUAAAAACUUUGUAUCUUUUAAGAAAUCUGAAUCGGCUCCUCUGCUUCUGUCUGAGAACCCACGUUCU